UACAGAGGGUGCGAGCGUUAAUCGGAAUUACUGGGCGUAAAGCGCGCGUAGGCGGCUUUGCAAGUCGGGUGUGAAAUCCCCGGGCUCAACCUGGGAACUGCAUUUGUGACUGCACAGCUUGAGUGCGGCAGAGGGGGAUGGAAUUCCGCGUGUAGCAGUGAAAUGCGUAGAUAUGCGGAGGAACACCGAUGGCGAAGGCAAUCCCCUGGGCCUGCACUGACGCUCAUGCACGAAAGCGUGGGGAGCAAACAGG
Molecule: ribosomal RNA, 253 nt
Filed under: uncultured bacterium
Lineage: Bacteria
Description: partial 16S ribosomal RNA
Rfam family: Bacterial small subunit ribosomal RNA
Source: RNAcentral